Unclassified non-coding RNA from Aotus nancymaae (Ma's night monkey), 101 nucleotides. It matches the Rfam family "Y RNA". From Rfam's summary of the family: Y RNAs are components of the Ro ribonucleoprotein particle (Ro RNP), in association with Ro60 and La proteins. The Y RNAs and Ro60 and La proteins are well conserved, but the function of the Ro RNP is not known. The record is from Ensembl. Lineage: Eukaryota; Metazoa; Chordata; Mammalia; Primates; Aotidae.
GGCUGGUCCAAGUGCAAUAGUGUUUACACUAAUUAAUCACAAUCAGUUACAGACUUCUUUGUUCCUUUUCCAAGCCAAACAGUUCACUUGACUAGCCUAAA